Molecule: non-coding RNA, 30 nt
Filed under: Homo sapiens (human)
Lineage: Eukaryota; Metazoa; Chordata; Mammalia; Primates; Hominidae
Source: RNAcentral
UGACACCAUCUAAUCAUUGUCCAGGUGGCC